Oryctolagus cuniculus (rabbit) is the source of this 45-nucleotide non-coding RNA. The record is from Rfam. Lineage: Eukaryota; Metazoa; Chordata; Mammalia; Lagomorpha; Leporidae.
ACAACGGCUCUUUUCAGAGCCACUUCCGGAGUCGGGAAAAGGCGG